CAAUAGCGUAUAUUAAAGUUGUUGCAGUUAAAAAGCUCGUAGUUGGAUUUCUGGGAGAGUGGCGAUGUCCGCUUAACGUGUGUGCAGCGACGCUCUUCCAUCCUUCUGUUAGCGUCUCUCGGCAUUCAUUUGUCGGUGGCGGGCUCAGAUAUUUUACCUUGAGAAAAUUAGAGUGUUUCGGGCAGGCUAGGCCGGAAUACAUUAGCAUGGAAUAAUGGAAUAGGACUACGGUCUCUUUGUUGGUUUGAGGGACUGCAGUAAUGAUUAAUAGGGAUAGUUGGGGGCAUUAGUAUUUAAUUGUCAGAGGUGGAAUUCUCAGAUUUGUUAAAGACUAACUUAUGCGAAAGCAUUUGCCAAGGAUGUUUUCAUUAA
This 372-nucleotide ribosomal RNA is filed under the name uncultured eukaryote. RNAcentral's name for it is "partial 18S ribosomal RNA". It matches the Rfam family "Eukaryotic small subunit ribosomal RNA", at positions 592 to 976 of the family's 1831-position model. The record is from RNAcentral.